GAUGAACGCUGGCGGCGUGCCUAAUACAUGCAAGUCGAGCGAACGGACGAGAAGCUUGCUUCUCUGAUGUUAGCGGCGGACGGGUGAGUAACACGUGGAUAACCUACCUAUAAGACUGGGAUAACUUCGGGAAACCGGAGCUAAUACCGGAUAAUAUUUUGAACCGCAUGGUUCAAAAGUGAAAGACGGUCUUACUGUCACUUAUAGAUGGAUCCGCGCUGCAUUAGCUAGUUGGUAAGGUAACGGCUUACCAAGGCAACGAUGCAUAGCCGACCUGAGAGGGUGAUCGGCCACACUGGAACUGAGACACGGUCCAGACUCCUACGGGAGGCAGCAGUAGGGAAUCUUCCGCAAUGGGCGAAAGCCUGACGGAGCAACGCCGCGUGAGUGAUGAAGGUCUUCGGAUCGUAAAACUCUGUUAUUAGGGAAGAACAUAUGUGUAAGUAACUGUGCACAUCUUGACGGUACCUACUCAGAAAGCCACGGCUAACUACGUG
RNAcentral lists this ribosomal RNA (497 nucleotides) under uncultured bacterium. RNAcentral describes it as "partial 16S ribosomal RNA". It matches the Rfam family "Bacterial small subunit ribosomal RNA", at positions 28 to 507 of the family's 1533-position model. The record is from RNAcentral.